GGGGUUCUUGCGGGUUGCCAGCGGAAUCAUAAUCCGCGUGUCGGGGGUUCGAGUCCCUCCUCCGCUA
RNAcentral lists this transfer RNA (67 nucleotides) under Planctomycetaceae bacterium. RNAcentral describes it as "tRNA-Met". Lineage: Bacteria; Pseudomonadati; Planctomycetota; Planctomycetia; Planctomycetales; Planctomycetaceae. The record is from RNAcentral.